CAUGUGGUCCAACCACCUCAAUUA
Molecule: transfer RNA, 24 nt
Filed under: Triops longicaudatus
Lineage: Eukaryota; Metazoa; Arthropoda; Branchiopoda; Notostraca; Triopsidae
Description: partial tRNA-Ile
Source: RNAcentral